UAUAUAAACUUGGCACAUACAAAAAGCUCUAGGGUUUAAGCACGGUUUCUGUUAAAGAGAAGGGAAAGAUGUUUUUGGGCGCGUUUCCUCGGAAGCCGGACAAGGCGACUGCGCUGAAGCAGCUGAGGACUCAUGUGACGAUCUUCGGAGUGGUGGUGAUCGUGAUUCGAGUUACUCCUUACAUUCUCCAUUACCUCUGCGAAGAAAAGGAAGAACUCAAACUGGAUCUCUGAUGCUCACUUCGCUGUUCUGAUACGAGGCCUGAGUGUGGCGAAUACUUCAAUUCUUUGCUUUAUACAUGCGUAGGAGAAGAAGAAGAAGAAGAAAACAAAGUCUUCCUUGUGAAGUGAACCAAAGGUUCGAUGAUCAUUACACUGACUUGUUGACUGAAAUAUGUUAUAGUGGACGUAGAAGGGAGAGGAUCAGGAUGAUGGAAAUUUGCAGUUCUUAGGCUCAUUUUUUAUUGUUGUGUAGCAGUCGUGGUUGUGUGGCCAACUUUCCCUGUUGAUCCUAUGCCAAGGGAUAAAAUUGUAUAUGAAUGAUUUUCUAUUGAGGUUUACUCAUUUGGAAAAUUAGAUGCCUUCUGUGUUUUAUAAAUUCUGUGGGCCAAUGAAGUGCUCAUGGUCUUUGCAUGUAUUCUGCUAAAACGUUCACCAUGAAUCCAUCUUAAAAAGCUUAUUGUCGGUUGACUAUAACUGUGUAAGCCAUAUAAAGUUUUCUCUA
RNA transcript from Macadamia integrifolia, 723 nucleotides. It is a transcript of the gene named mitochondrial import receptor subunit TOM6 homolog, with no coding region annotated. The transcript has 3 exons. The record is from RefSeq and is a predicted model, not a curated record. Lineage: Eukaryota; Viridiplantae; Streptophyta; Magnoliopsida; Proteales; Proteaceae.